ACAAAUUGGUCAAAGGAGGAAUUUUAUCAAAUUAAAAUCAUUCAUUCAUUUUGGGAGAUGAAAUGUACAUUUCAUCAAUCCCCUAAAUCCAAUGAUUUUAACUCAACAAAGUCAAAUCAACCUUGACCAAAUUGGUCAAAGGAGGAAUUUUAUCAAAUUAAAAUCAUUCAUUCAUUUUGGGAGAUGAAAUGUACAUUUCAUCAAUCCCCUAAAUCCAAUGAUUUUAACUCAACAAAGUCAAAUCAACCUUGACCAAGGCCCAACAAUACAAGUCAAACUCAACAAGUCAAUAUCAAAAGCUCAACACAAUUUAUU
Molecule: long non-coding RNA, 315 nt
Filed under: Lathyrus oleraceus (garden pea)
Lineage: Eukaryota; Viridiplantae; Streptophyta; Magnoliopsida; Fabales; Fabaceae
Description: Pisum sativum (pea) long non-coding RNA (PSAT_LNC007937)
Source: RNAcentral